CUUACCUACGGGAGGCAGCAGUGGGGAAUAUUGGGCAAUGGGCGCAAGCCUGACCCAGCGACGCCGCGUGAAGGAAGAAGGCUUUCGGGUUGUAAACUUCUUUUCUCAGGGACGAAGAAAGUGACGGUACCUGACUAAGAAGCCCCGGCUAACUACGUGCCAGCAGCCGCGGUAAUACGUAGGGGGCAAGCGUUAUCCGGAUUUACUGGGUGUAAAGGGAGCGUAGGCGGCAAGGUAAGCCAGAAGUGAAAGCCCGCGGCUCAACUGCGGGACUGCUUUUGGAACUAUCUAGCUAGAUUGCAGGA
RNAcentral lists this ribosomal RNA (305 nucleotides) under uncultured bacterium. RNAcentral's name for it is "bacterial SSU rRNA". It matches the Rfam family "Bacterial small subunit ribosomal RNA", at positions 334 to 653 of the family's 1533-position model. The record is from RNAcentral.